UCGUGGAGUGAUUUGUCUGGUUGAUUCCGGUAACGAACGAGAUCUUGACCGUUCAAUGACAGAUUGAUCGUUAUGUAGUUUGACUUUACAUGCGCUUGCGUAUCGUACUGUUAACGAGAUCUACCCUUGUACUCAACGGGACUACGUGUGCUGACAACACGUGGAAGUGCAAGCCAAUAGCG
RNAcentral lists this ribosomal RNA (182 nucleotides) under uncultured eukaryote. Its description in RNAcentral is "partial 18S ribosomal RNA". It matches the Rfam family "Eukaryotic small subunit ribosomal RNA", at positions 1299 to 1457 of the family's 1831-position model. The record is from RNAcentral.